Vicugna pacos (alpaca) is the source of this 802-nucleotide non-coding RNA. NCBI's taxonomy places the organism in Eukaryota, Metazoa, Chordata, Mammalia, Artiodactyla, Camelidae. The record is from RefSeq and is a predicted model, not a curated record.
CACAUCAAACUGCGAGCCCAAAUGCUGAUCUUCCAGCAAAAGACGAAUCUACGUCUUCAGUACUUCUCCGUCUGAGUGCAGAAACUCAGCUUCUUCUAAAGGAGAUAUUAUCUGUGAAACAGAUGCAAAAGAAAUGUGAAGCACUAGAGGAGGAGAAGAAGAAGUUGGAGGAAGAAGCAGAAAACCUCAGACGUCACCUCGAAAUGAAUACAGUGGAACACAGUCAAGUGGAGCAGGACAAACGGGAGACUGAAGAACAAACAAGACGGGAUGUAGUAAAAACACUGAAAAAAUUCAGGCGAGCUGUGCAGUACAGACGGGAAACUGAAAAGCAAGGAAGACAUGAUGUAGUAGAAAAACUGAAAGAAAUCAGCCAGUUUUUACAGGGCUAAUGAGAGGCUGGCCGAGAUGAACACUGAACUUCAGCUGGAGAAACAGCACAAGAGUUCUUUCCUCGGCUCUGUUCCCGCACGGCCUGUUGAUAGACCGCCUGCUGCUGAAAGUUCUAGUACUGCUGAAAGUUCUAGUACUAGCGUGGAGCCCGAAUGGAGUCGUCUUACUCGAAAAAGGCGCUUCAGGAAUUUUCCACACCCUACAACCAGCAUGAGCGAUCUGUUGAAGAUGCGGAAGAAGCUGAUAAACAAUAUAUCUAGAGAAUUAAAAGAAGGUAUGUUGCCAACAUUUCUGAAUUAAAUUUAGACGUUGAUUUCUGAAAUACACUGUAAACAGUAAAUGGCACCCCUUUCUAUUGCUUGAAUAACAGAUACCAUGUUAAGCUUUUUUCUUACACAUAGCUGAUGAA